GACCCGCAAGGCAAGCUGCACGCGCUCGCAGCAACCACCCGCUCGCCUAACCUAACGAGCGCAGCGCCGCCGCCUCCUGCUCAUCUCCCUGUUGGCCUCUUGGCUCUUCCAGCUCCAAACGGCGACAACGGCGCGCGGCGUCCGUGACGGCGAGUCGGCGACCGCUCUGGCAAUCGCAGGACUGGGCGGCGUCCCGGCCGGCGGCGCACGGCGCGGCAUGCUAGGAUCCCCCAGCCGCUCGGCGUCCAGGGCUCCAGGCGGCCAGCGGCCAGCGCCUGGCGUCCUCCACAGCUCCGCUCAGUGACCAUCUAGCACGUGCAUCGGCAGGCUAGCAACCAGCAUCGAAGGCAGCAAGCCACAGGAAGAAAGAGUAUCCACCUAAGAUCCUAGGUGGCUUCACGUGAAGGCUCUAAAGAAACCUCCAAUUAGUAAUAGUAAGAUUUUGCAUAUUACUUUGAAAUAUCCAACCCAUUUGUCUAGGCUCAGGCUCAGGUUACUCACUAGUGGAAGAAUUUUGCUCGUUUCUCUCUCCGCCAACUGAACCAAAGCCAGCGACAUCGCUACCCAUUGGACCCGACAUUGAUAGAGUAUGCUGCCCACUUUUUCUCCAGGAGCUAGCUCUUGAAAAAGGAAUAGUACACUCUCUUCUCACAUUCUCUUUCUUCCAUGUAAGUAAAAUGAUGAGUUAGACUUUUAUGAGAUAGUACUCUUUCUCUCUCGUUACAUUCUCUUUCUUCCAUGUAAGCAAAAUGAUGAGUUGAACUUCUACGAGUUAGCUAAGGUGGUCUUAUUAGAGGAGGCCUGAUAUAGUACACGUAUAUAUUGCACAUUCAUGAUGAGGUUUAUAUCAGACAUGAGAUACUGGUGCAUAAUUAGCGAUGACUGAACCUAGAGGAGAAUAUGGGAUUGAUUUUAAAUGCAUCUUUCUUGUCAAGUCAUAAAUAUUGUUUUUUUUUCAAAUCUAGUAUCCACGGAAAUAGUAGUACAAAUAAAACACAAAUUCUUUUUAGUUUGUAAAAAGAUCCAUUUCAUAGAGUAGUCUAAAAUUUUUACAUACAAUGGUACAAUAUUAGAAAAAAGUGAACCUAAAUCUAGUCUUUAACUAUCAACAUAAGUUUGAAAAGUGUUUAUUAAAAUAUUACAAACCAUUGAAAAUGGGGCAAUCUAUUAAAUGGUGUUUGUAAUGGAUUAGCAGAGUGUGAAAUAUGAUAGCUUAGCUAGUAGGUGGUAGGUGACAUGCCCAUCAACAAGAAGAUGACUACGAUGACACGGACGAUGUCAAUAUUGAGAAUCUGCCGAUUUAGUUUCUUAGAGAUGCUCAUAGAGGUAGGAUCACGUGCAUGUGUUUAUAGGGGGGUGAUUGUGGAGCGUGUAUAUUAACGUCUCCGUCUGUACUGUAUUUCAUAAAAAAAAUCACAAAGAUUUAGAAAGGUAAAGGGAAGAAGAAGAAGAAGAAGAAGAAGAAGAAGAAGAAGAAGAAGAAGAAGAAGAAGAAGAAAAACAAACAUGGGCCGCAUUCUAGCAAAAAAGAUAGACCGAACUCCUUACGGAAGAUGGGCCGUGCUGGGCCAUGCAAUUUCGUGGCGGAGUAGGAAGAUGGUGUCUCUUCUGCACGCACCCGGCCUCGGCAAAUCCAACGCGAUGGGCACGCCGCCGCCGGCUCCCACCCCACCGCCACUUCCCCUAUUUUCUCAGCCGGAUCCUCCAACCGCCGUUCCCACCUCGGUGUAGCGGGUGUCUCGUGUAGCGGUGUUGCAGCAGGAGUCUAUUGGAGUGGAGAUCCCUCCGAUCGUGGAUUGAUUUUGUCCUUUGUUCUUCUCAGCGCACCAGGUGACAGUGCGGGUUUUUGUUCAAAAUUCCUGCCGCAUGGACAACGUCGAGUCCGCCCCUGACUCCCCGGUGCAAGCGCCGCCGUCCUCUGCCUCGUCUCUCCCUAAGGAGCAAUCGCAGGUGGAGUUGGAGCUGAGGCUUCUCCAGGCCCUUGAGUUCGACCCUCCGUCCAAACUCAAAGGCGUUCAUCGUCACUUUGUUCUCUAUGGCCUCAUGGAAUAUUUGAGAAAAAGCCUUGACCGUCAAUUCUCUGCUGAUGAGGUUUUGCAACUAUUGGGUCGUUUCUUUAACCUAGAAAUGCUGAAACCAGAGGAUGAUGAAAAGGACAACUUCAGUCAAGGGGAAGAAUUUUCCUUGCCAGAGAGCUUCCUCAACAAGGAAGAAUAAUAGCAAGUAGCUCAUAACAUGCUUCACAAUGUCAUCCAAGGUACUUUGAGUGUCCUCUGGAAGAGAAAUCAGGGAGCUGGUUCUUAGCGACUCCCACUUCCUAGUAGAUGUCGUCUAGGCCAUCCGUUGGUAGUAGGCAUCCGCACUGAAGUUGUGUUUUGUUCAGUUGUGUUCGUGUUUACUGACUUGUACAGCUUUUGUUGACUCUUGGAUAUCCAAUCAAUGGAGUUGUGCGGUAGCUUCGAUUAAGCAUUACCCUUGCCUUCUAACACAUGCAGAAAAGCAACGCCUUAAUAUUGCCCUCCAUAUUUCUAGUUA
Panicum virgatum (switchgrass) is the source of this 2535-nucleotide RNA transcript. RefSeq lists it as uncharacterized. NCBI's taxonomy places the organism in Eukaryota, Viridiplantae, Streptophyta, Magnoliopsida, Poales, Poaceae. The transcript is spliced from 8 exons. The record is from RefSeq and is a predicted model, not a curated record.